AUUGAACGCUGGCGGCAGGCCUAACACAUGCAAGUCGAGCGGAUGAAGGGAGCUUGCUCCUGGAUUCAGCGGCGGACGGGUGAGUAAUGCCUAGGAAUCUGCCUGGUAGUGGGGGAUAACGUCCGGAAACGGGCGCUAAUACCGCAUACGUCCUGAGGGAGAAAGUGGGGGAUCUUCGGACCUCACGCUAUCAGAUGAGCCUAGGUCGGAUUAGCUAGUUGGUGGGGUAAAGGCCUACCAAGGCGACGAUCCGUAACUGGUCUGAGAGGAUGAUCAGUCACACUGGAACUGAGACACGGGCCAGACUCCUACGGGAGGCAGCAGUGGGGAAUAUUGGACAAUGGGCGAAAGCCUGAUCCAGCCAUGCCGCGUGCGUGAAGAAGGUCUUCGGAUUGUAAAGCACUUUAAGUUGGGAGGAAGGGCAGUAAGUUAAUACCUUGCUGUUUUGACGUUACCAACAGAAUAAGCACCGGCUAACUUCGUG
Molecule: ribosomal RNA, 484 nt
Filed under: uncultured bacterium
Lineage: Bacteria
Description: partial 16S ribosomal RNA
Rfam family: Bacterial small subunit ribosomal RNA
Source: RNAcentral